CCUACGGGCGGCAGCAGUGGGGAAUAUUGCACAAUGGGGGAAACCCUGAUGCAGCGACGCCGCGUGAGUGAAGAAGUAUCUCGGUAUGUAAAGCUCUAUCAGCAGGGGAGAAAAUGACGGUACCUGACUAAGAAGCCCCGGCUAACUACGUGCCAGCAGCCGCGGUAAUACGGAGGGGGCAAGCGUUAUCCGGAUUUACUGGGUGUAAAGGGAGCGUAGACGGAGCUGCAAGUCCGGAGUGAAAGCCCAGGGCUUAACCAUGGUACUGCCCUGGAAACUGUGGAGCUGGAGUGGGGGAGGGGUAGGCGGAAUGCCUAGUGUAGCGGUGAAAUGCGUAGAUAUUAGGAGGAACACCGGCGGCGAAGGCGGCCUGCUGGCCCGUAACUGACGUUGAGGCUCGAAAGCGUGGGGAGCAAACAGGAUUAGAUACCCGAGUAGUC
Molecule: ribosomal RNA, 440 nt
Filed under: uncultured bacterium
Lineage: Bacteria
Description: partial 16S ribosomal RNA
Rfam family: Bacterial small subunit ribosomal RNA
Source: RNAcentral